RNAcentral lists this ribosomal RNA (373 nucleotides) under uncultured bacterium. RNAcentral's name for it is "bacterial SSU rRNA". It matches the Rfam family "Bacterial small subunit ribosomal RNA", at positions 521 to 896 of the family's 1533-position model. The record is from RNAcentral.
UAAUACGUAGGUGGCGAGCGUUGUCCGGAUUUAUUGGGUUUAAAGGGUGCGUAGGCGGCCCUGUAAGUCAGUGCUGAAAUAUCCCGGCUUAACCGGGAGGGUGGCAUUGAUACUGCAGGGCUUGAGUGAAGUCGAGGUAGGCGGAAUUGACGGUGUAGCGGUGAAAUGCUUAGAUAUCGUCAAGAACACCGAUAGUGUAGACAGCUUACUAGGCUUUAACUGACGCUGAGGCACGAAAGUGUGGGGAUCAAACAGGAUUAGAUACCCUGGUAGUCCACACUGUAAACGUUGAUCACUCGCUGUUGGCGAUACACAGUCAGCGGCUUAGCGCAAGCGAUAAGUGAUCCACCUGGGGAGUACGCCGGCAACGGUG